GGCCCCGGCGCGCGCCAACGGGUUCCUCCUCCCCGGCGGAGAUCGGCGUGGAGGCUCCCCGGCGGCUCGAGGCUGCGGGGCUGGUAAUCCCUUUAGGCACCGGAUGAUCCGCCUAGGCAUUUGCCAUAAGGAUAAAUAUGGAGGAGCAUUUUAGGCAGAAAACAGAAGCAGAGUUGAAGAGUGACUGAUUCAAAACGUGUGCCGUCCCCAGGACUUUUUCUGGAACCAUGAGAGGAAAGGAGAGAAGUUCUUAUUCUGGAUUGCAGAGAAGAGGGUGAGCUCAGAGCUACUGACUAUGUGUGCCACUGGAAUUUGAACCCAGAGCCUUGAAGUACUAAACGCACUCUGUCGACUCCUAGGCAACUUUCUUCGCUCUGUUUAUUGACACUGGAGAAGAACCAGCUUAAGAUGAAGCCAGCAAUGAGCAGAGAGCAGGAGUAGAAACAGAUACCAGUGAAUUAAUUUAUGUCUCUAAGUGUAGAAGCUCCCUAGCUUCCACCCCCAGGUUAUCCAGACAUUUUGUUGUUGUUGUAACAUUUAAUUUAAUUGUAACAUUUUAACAGAAAGACUGACACUAAAGUAUUAUGGUUUGCCAUAACAUAGUGUGUUAUACUUGGGACUAGUGUGACUGUGGAGGUAGAGGUAGGGGCUAGAAUGUGAAGGCUUAAGAAAUAGACCUUUAUUGUAUAGCUAUGAAAGGGUUAAGUCAACAGUAUCCCCAACAAACCCAUCGGAACCAGAAACUCAUAGCUAGGAACAUUUAGUUCCUCACACUUUGAUGAGGCAUUCACUUUUGCUAUUCUGGUUCCCUCUGAUAGUUACAGAACUUUUACAAUUGGGAAAGGAGAGCUAGGGACAUGACUGUGACUAGAGCAGUGUGCUCCAACCAGGGUGCUGUGCAUUAUCCCAACAAUCACUGAAACAAGUUUGACAAAUGAGUUAUUUAUGGGGGCCAAGCAUGGAGGGGGAGAACCCCAAAAACUCUUUCUAGAGAAUAGAGUUAGGGUUGUUUAUGGAAUAACCCAGCAGAGAGACUUAAAGUGCAUGCUCAGAGAUGGCUAGCAUGGUAUGGAUGUGGAAUUUGGGCCUCUCUGACAUCAAAAGGGCACAGAACAGAAACUGCAGGAUCAAACAAGAGUCAGAUCACUUCAACAAAAGCAGCCUUUAAGCUCCUGGAAGGUAAUCUGGCAGCCAUUGGCAUCUCUACCCACGUGCCAGAAGUGCUGUCUGUCUGUCUUCAGCAAAGCCUGUGGGAGCCUCAUAAUACAUACCUCAGCUGUGACCUCGAGAGCUCGUCAUUUCAAAAUCCAAUUAGAAACAGCAAGGGGGGCUUGAAAGGUUGCUUAGGAUAAGUAAGAGUAGGUCAUCUGGAUGUGUUUAUCAAAGUUAGAAAACUGGGUUCUCUGUGUAGCCCUGGCUAUCCUGGAACUCACUCUGUAGACCAGGCUGGCCUCGAACUCUGAAAUCCACCUACCUCUGCCUCUCAAGUGCUGGGAUUAAGGAUGUGUUCCACCACCACCACAGGGUUUAAGACAGGGCCUUGAUGGUAACAUUCUUGGGGAUGUUUCUGGUUUCUUGGAGAGAUGUUUCUAAGGUGCAAAAGGUACACAUUAACAACUGUAACGAUUUUUUGAUUGUUUGUUUGUUUUGGUCAGGGUUAUGCUGGCCUCAAAUUUAUAUCUCCUGCUUCAAGCUCUUAAAUGCUGCGAUUACAGUCAUAUGCCACUGCAUCAGCUAUAAAGACCUUUUGAUAAGUACCCAGCAGAUGGUUGUGUCUCAAGGAGCAAAAAUUAGGUAUUAGUAGCGUCUCUGUUAAUUUUCUAUUGCUGCAAUAAGACACCAUGGCCAAGGUAAUUAAUUAUAGUGUUUAUCUGGGGCUUACAGUUUGGGUAUUAGAGUCCAUGACCCUCAUGGUGGGGAGCAUGGCAGCAGGCAGGCAUGGCACUGGAGUAGUAGCUGAGAGCUCACAUCUUGAGACACAACCAGAAGGCAGAGAGAUCUAACAGGAAACGGUAAGGGCUUUUGAAAUCUCAAAGUGACCCCCCCUCCUUCAACAAAGCCGCACUUGCUGAUCCUUCCCAUUAGGCAACCAGCUAUUCACACAUGAGCCUAUAAGGUCAUUCUCAUUCAGACCACCACACAUAGUAAGGAGGCUUAGAAAUGGACCUGGAAAACAAACAAAAGGGUUUGGCAAAUUUCAGAAAAUGCCAUUUUCCUUUUAGGGAUUGAGUUGUUUGAUUUUGACCCCAGUCAGUAGUGUUUCCUAAUUCUUUUAAUAAUAAUAAUAAUAAUAAUAAUAAUAAUAAUAAUAAUAAUAAUGAUAAACAAUAAUAAAUUAUUAUUAGUGUGUGUGUGGUUGUGUAUGGACAUGCCAUGGCAUGUGUGUGGAGGUCAGAGUACAACCUUGUGCAAUCUCUCCUGCCUUUAUGUGGUUCCAGGGAUGGAAAUAAGAAAGUUAGGUGUUUGUGGAAAGCACCUUUACCCACUGAGUCAUCUCAGGAGCCUACGUGUCCUGUUUUGAAGACACAUUCACACAAGCAGAAUUUCCCUGAAGAAAAAAGGAAAUCAGUGGUGGAUCUCAGCACUCAGGAGGCAGAGGCAGGUGGAUUUCUGAGUUCGAGGCCAGCCUGGUCUAUGGAGUGAGUUCCAGGACA
Peromyscus maniculatus bairdii (prairie deer mouse) is the source of this 2654-nucleotide long non-coding RNA. RefSeq lists it as uncharacterized. NCBI's taxonomy places the organism in Eukaryota, Metazoa, Chordata, Mammalia, Rodentia, Cricetidae. The record is from RefSeq and is a predicted model, not a curated record.